RNAcentral lists this small nucleolar RNA (68 nucleotides) under Trachymyrmex cornetzi. Its description in RNAcentral is "Small nucleolar RNA SNORD18". It matches the Rfam family "Small nucleolar RNA SNORD18". Rfam says of the family: U18 is a member of the C/D class of snoRNA which contain the C (UGAUGA) and D (CUGA) box motifs. It is encoded in introns of ribosomal protein L1 in Xenopus and human, and in introns of elongation factor 1 beta in yeast. The record is from Rfam by way of RNAcentral. Lineage: Eukaryota; Metazoa; Arthropoda; Insecta; Hymenoptera; Formicidae.
UAAUCAUGAUGAUAUUAAUGGUCCGUGUUUCUGAGUGACAAUGAUUAUUUAUAACCAUUACUGAGUUA